This 451-nucleotide ribosomal RNA is filed under the name uncultured bacterium. RNAcentral's name for it is "partial 16S ribosomal RNA". It matches the Rfam family "Bacterial small subunit ribosomal RNA", at positions 29 to 523 of the family's 1533-position model. The record is from RNAcentral.
AGCGAACGCUGGCGGCAGGCCUAACACAUGCAAGUCGAGCGGGCGUAGCAAUACGUCAGCGGCAGACGGGAGAGUAACACGUGGGAACGUGCCCUUUGGUUCGGAAUAACUCAGGGAAACUUGAGCUAAUACCGGAUAAGCCCUUCGGGGGAAAGAUUUAUUGCCAUUGGAGCGGCCCGCGCCGGAUUAGCUAGUUGGUGAGGUAAUGGCUCACCAAGGCGACGAUCCGUAGCUGGUCUGAGAGGAUGACCAGCCUCACUGGGACUGAGACACGGCCCAGACUCCUAUGGGAGGCAGCAGUGGGGAAUAUUGGACAAUGGGCACAAGCCUGAUCCAGCCAUGCCGCGUGGAUGAUGAAGGCCCUAGGGUUGUAAAGUCCUUUUAACGGGGAAGAUAAUGACGGUACCCGUAGAAUAAGCCCCGGCUAACUUCGUGCCAGCCGCCGCAGUAA